UAAGGAAUAUUGGUCAAUGGGCGAAAGCCUGACGCAGCGACGCCGCGUGCGGGAAGAAGGCCUUCGGGUUGUAAACCGCUUUCAGGAGGGACGAAGCCACUCGGGUUAAUAGCCCAGAGGGUGACGGUACCUCCAGAAGAAGCCCCGGCUAACUACGUGCCAGCAGCCGCGGUAAUACGUAGGGGGCAAGCGUUGUCCGGAUUUAUUGGGCGUAAAGAGCGUGUAGGCGGCCGUGUAGGUCUGACGUGAAAUCUGGAGGCUCAACCUCCAGCUGUCGUUGGAAACCGCGCGGCUAGAGUCCGGAAGAGGAGAGUGGAAUUCCUGGUGUAGCGGUGAAAUGCGCAGAUAUCAGGAAGAACACCUAUGGCGAAGGCAGCUCUCUGGGACGGUACUGACGCUGAGACGCGAAAGCGUGGGGAGCGAACAG
Molecule: ribosomal RNA, 427 nt
Filed under: uncultured bacterium
Lineage: Bacteria
Description: bacterial SSU rRNA
Rfam family: Bacterial small subunit ribosomal RNA
Source: RNAcentral